Molecule: long non-coding RNA, 1698 nt
Filed under: Olea europaea subsp. europaea
Lineage: Eukaryota; Viridiplantae; Streptophyta; Magnoliopsida; Lamiales; Oleaceae
Source: RNAcentral
AUUCAUCCUACCCAACCACACACACGAACACUAAUUAAUUUCAUCAUCUCCAUUCUCUCUCUUCUCUCUCCAUCCACCUUCCAUCUUCUCUCUAGCUGUCUGCCUUCGUUGCCAUCGGUAGCACCACCUCACCAUCACCACACUUAACCAUCUCACUACAAACCAUACACCCACCAAAAAAUCACCAUACCCGCAACCUCCACCAUCGCGUGCUACCAACAACAUCGUCAUCACAAAUCCACCAUCUUCACCUCAACCAUCAACACCACACUCAAUAGAUCGAGAGAAACAAACAAGAUGGGGAAUAGAGAAACAGAUCGCCGCGCACCUCCAGCAACGUAGCGACUCAUAGCAUCAAUAAUACCGAGAUCUGGGAAAAUGACGAAUUUUCGGAGGCCACGUAGUUACCCACAUCGCAAUGAUGCCGAGAUCUGGGAAAAAAUGUAGGGAAAUGCGGGGAUCUACUACAAUGGCGAAUGAUGGAUAUGACAUCGUGAGGUAGUGGCGAUUUUCGUGACACUGCAAUGGUGCUAAUUAUUUUUUGGCAGAGGUUACCAUACUUUUCUUUCCAGGCUAAAGUGGGGGGUUUUUGUUGACUGUGCUUGUCGCUGGUAAAAGUCGUCGCUAUGGUUAUAUCGGUGUCAAUGGUAGUUUUUAUUUAUGGUCGCGAUCUUAGCUCUUGUUUGAUUCUCAUUCUUCAUUUUUUCAAAAUUUAUUUUCAACCACACAUUCUUCAAUAAAAUAAUAUUACACGUAAAUUCAAAACUUUUCUUUAAUUUUUAAUCACACAUUCUCCAUUAAUCUAUUAUUCAAAAUGCAUUAUUUCUUCCAAAAUGGAGAUCAAUGCAACUACCUGAUUUGAUGAAACUUGGUGGUGUUUUUUUCAUUAUAUCCUAUUAGUUCUUUCCAAAAUCAAUCUUCUAAAAAUUUUUGUCCUCUGCAUUUUUUGGGAGUUCUAUAAAUAUUUACAUAUGGCCAUAGUCUGGAGAGAGAUCCAAUGAAUCGACGAUGGCUCUAACAAACCACGUGCUAUUCUGAUCCAAUGAAUUUGUUGGCUACUUGCUAUUAUUGAAAUUUUCGAAAUUGGAUGUUGAAAAUGAGAUGACUUUCAUUAUCUUGUUGGCUACUUAAUGUUUCUUAAGGAGUCUGCAAACUGGUAGUCUUAGUUUGGAUAAGAAAUUGUUGAAGUCUUUUUGCUGGAGAUAAGUCUUUUUGCAAUUGUAACAUGCUGCUGAAAUGUUGAGCUCUCAUGUGAGACUUAUAGAUGAGAUUUCAAGGUCAGAUAAGAGACAAAAGAAGAUGAAACUUUAUGAUUUGAAGCAUAAGAAGGAACGAAUGUUAUUUUUUUGAUAUUACACCUGAUUGUGAGUAUAAGAUUACAUACAUAUGUGAAGUGCAAUUCAAUAUAGAAGGGAUUGUUUUACAUUUGUAUAUACAAAUGUAUUAUUUGUCUAAAAAAAUUAUGGACUUUUGAAGUAAUUUGUACGCCUAAGGUUUCAAUCAAGACAAGUUUUACACUUCACGUACAUGUUUCAUGUUAUUGAAUUUUGACUUAUGUUAGUGGUGGAAAUGAAAAAUAAUUACAAAUGAAAUUGACUUUAAGAACUUCAAAGGCUAUAUUUGGCUCAUAUUUAUAAACACUCAAAUCAUUUUUCAUCAACACUUUAUUAAAGAAUGUAUGGUUAAAAAUGAGUUAUU